CCUACGGGGGGCAGCAGUGGGGAAUAUUGGGCAAUGGAGGCAACUCUGACCCAGCAACGCCGCGUGAAGGAAGAAGGCCUUAGGGUUGUAAACUUAUGUUGUAAAGGAAGAAAAGAAUGACGGUACUUUACAAGAAAGCCCCGGCUAACUAUGUGCCAGCAGCCGCGGUAAGACAUAGGGGGCAAGCGUUGUUCGGAAUUACUGGGCGUAAAGGGAGCGUAGGCGGGAAAGUAAGAUAGUGGUGAAAUGCCUGAGCUCAACUUGGGAACUGCCAUUAUAACUAUUUUUCUAGAGUGACAGAGAGGAUAUUGGAAUACCCAGUGUAGAGGUGAAAUUCGUAGAUAUUGGGUAGAACACCGGAGGCGAAGGCGAGUAUCUGGCUGUCAACUGACGCUGAGGCACGAAAGCAUGGGGAUCAAACAGGAUUAGAUACCCGAGUAGUC
This 443-nucleotide ribosomal RNA is filed under the name uncultured bacterium. RNAcentral's name for it is "partial 16S ribosomal RNA". It matches the Rfam family "Bacterial small subunit ribosomal RNA", at positions 338 to 795 of the family's 1533-position model. The record is from RNAcentral.